GAACACAAAUUGUACUUUCCCGUAUUCUGGGAAGUAUGCUUGGUUGAGGGUCAUUAAAAUAACAUUCGUAAAUUUUUUUGCGGAUUUGAGUUUUCCAGUAUUUAUAAAAAUGUUGGUAACUUUAAAAUUAUUAUUACUUGGUACAAGUUGAAGACGUUCUAUAUGUGUGGUUCGCUGACAACUUGUCCAUCAUCAUAUAUUAUGCGCGCACUUGGUUUUUUACGCUCUGUGCGAGUAUAUAUUUUUUUAUGACCUCAGCUCAAGUAAGAAUACCCGCUGAACUUAAG
This 287-nucleotide unclassified non-coding RNA is filed under the name uncultured Diversisporaceae. Its description in RNAcentral is "sequence contains 5.8S rRNA gene". The record is from RNAcentral. Lineage: Eukaryota; Fungi; Glomeromycota; Glomeromycetes; Diversisporales.